AUGCAAAUGGUCUCUUGCGGUCGCACGGCGAUCAACAUUAACGGCAAGAUUGGCCCCUUCUUCCCUACCCUUUGUGGGGUGCGCCAAGGCGACCGCUUCUCCCCGUUCCUCUUCAAUAUGGUCGUGGACGCUUUGGCCUCCAUUCUAGACAAGGAAAAAGCCGCGGGGCACCUCCGUGGUAUUACCCCCCAUCUCUUCGGGGGCGCGGGGAUCUCCAUCCUCCAGUAUGCCGAUGACACGAUCAUCAUGGUUGAAGGCUCGGAGCUGGAUAUCACCAACCUAAAGUUCCUCCUUCUUUGCUUCCAACAGAUGUCGGGCCCCAAGAUCAACUUUGAUAAGAGCGAUGUUAUGGUGAUGGGUUACUCUCCCGCUGAGUCAGUAGCCAUCGCCAAUAGACUUAAUUGCCGCCUGGGCUCGUUCCCCACUACCUACCUUGGGACGCCCAUCAGUGACUCGCGCCUCUUGGCCGCCGAUCUUCGCCUCUCCGUGACCAAGCUCCAGACUAGAUGCGAGCCCUGGCAGGGGAGGUGGCUCUCUAAGGCGGCCCGGACUAUUCUUAUCAACUCCUCCCUCUCCAGCCUCCUCUUAUUUCUUAUGAGUUUCUACAGCCUCCACGAAUCUCUCCAUAAGGAGAUCGCCAAAAUCUAG
RNAcentral lists this ribosomal RNA (648 nucleotides) under Triticum aestivum (bread wheat). Its description in RNAcentral is "partial small subunit ribosomal RNA". The record is from RNAcentral. Lineage: Eukaryota; Viridiplantae; Streptophyta; Magnoliopsida; Poales; Poaceae.